GAAAUGCGAUAAGUAAUGUGAAUUGCAGAAUUCCGUGAAUCAUCGAAUCUUUGAACGCACAUUUCGCCCUCUGGCAUUCCGGGGGGCAUGCCUGUCCGAGCGUCAUUACGCACCCUCAAGCCCGGCUUGUGUGAUGGGCUCCGGCGUCUCGUUCGCGAGACGGGCCCGAAAGGCAGCGGCGGCGUCGACCCGAUGAGCCCGAGCGUAUGGGGACUUCUGUCACACGUUCGCGGUGCGGACCGGCGCCUGCUUGACUUUUCUGAUUAUCCAGGUUGACCUCGGAUCAGGUAGGGAUACCCGCUGAACUUAAGC
This 312-nucleotide unclassified non-coding RNA is filed under the name plant metagenome. Its description in RNAcentral is "partial contains 5.8S ribosomal RNA, internal transcribed spacer 2, and large subunit ribosomal RNA". The stretch from base 1 to 105 matches the Rfam family "5.8S ribosomal RNA", at positions 50 to 154 of the family's 154-position model. The record is from RNAcentral.